AGAUUGAACGCUGGCGGCAUGCCUAACACAUGCAAGUCGAACGGGAGUAGCAAUACUCUAGUGGCGGACGGGUGAGGAAUACGUAGGAAUUUGCUCUUAAGUGGGGGAUAACCCGGGGAAACCCGGAUUAAUACCGCAUGACCUCGAAAGAGCAAAGUGGGGGAUCGCAAGACCUCACGCUUUUGGAGAAGCCUACGUCGGAUUAGCUAGUUGGUGAGGUAAUGGCUCACCAAGGCGACGAUCCGUAACUGGUCUGAGAGGAUGAUCAGUCACACCGGAACUGAGACACGGUCCGACUCCGUACGGGAGCAGCGAGU
This 317-nucleotide ribosomal RNA is filed under the name uncultured soil bacterium. RNAcentral's name for it is "bacterial SSU rRNA". It matches the Rfam family "Bacterial small subunit ribosomal RNA", at positions 26 to 355 of the family's 1533-position model. The record is from RNAcentral.